Molecule: long non-coding RNA, 532 nt
Organism: Vespa crabro (European hornet)
Lineage: Eukaryota; Metazoa; Arthropoda; Insecta; Hymenoptera; Vespidae
Exons: 3
Source: RefSeq, a predicted model, not a curated record
AUGACACAACAGAUAGAUCUCUUCGAGGAUUUGCCAAGUAUUUAUUAACGUUCAACGAAUAUGAAAUCUUUAGUUCUUUAUUUCGUCACAUUUUUAUUAGUGACGUCACCGUUUUUAACAAUCGCUCAUCCAUUGGGUAUCAAGGGCGGUGAAUUACUUAAUAUAUCGAAUAAUGGAACCUCAGUUAAGUUGCCUGAAAUUGAUUUGAUUGAAGUAGGAAAUUUACCAGAUGAUUUACUCAAACUACCUGGUACAUUGCUCGGUGAAUCGGAUACGAAGUCUCCGUCAAUAAAGCCUGCCAAAACAGAAUGAGAAAGAAAAAUCGAUCAUUAAUCCCUUAGAUUCGCCGAAAAUCGUCACGGAAGAGGAAAAUGGCACACGUUUGUUUCAUUUAAAAUCGUUGAUUUAAUUUUCUUAAAAAAAAAAAAAAAUAUUUGCUCGAAAUAAUGACAAAUUCUUUAAUACAUUUGUUUUCUUUUUUUGUGAAAUAAAGAUACAUAUGAAUAUUUGCAAAUAAAUAUGUUCAAGUUAA